GGAAUAUUGGACAAUGGGCGCAAGCCUGAUCCAGCCAUGCCGCGUGCAGGAUGACGGUCCUAUGGAUUGUAAACUGCUUUUGCACAGGAAGAAACAACGCUACGUGUAGCGUCUUGACGGUACUGUGAGAAUAAGGAUCGGCUAACUCCGUGCCAGCAGCCGCGGUAAUACGGAGGAUCCAAGCGUUAUCCGGAAUCAUUGGGUUUAAAGGGUCCGUAGGCGGUCUUAUAAGUCAGUGGUGAAAUCUCCCCGCUCAACGGGGAAACGGCCAUUGAUACUGUAGGACUUGAAUUAUUAGGAAGUAACUAGAAUAUGUAGUGUAGCGGUGAAAUGCUUAGAGAUUACAUGGAAUACCAAUUGCGAAGGCAGGUUACUACUAAUGGAUUGACGCUGAUGGACGAAAGCGUGGGUAGCGAACAGGAUUAGAUACCCUUG
This 435-nucleotide ribosomal RNA is filed under the name uncultured Flavobacterium sp. Its description in RNAcentral is "bacterial SSU rRNA". It matches the Rfam family "Bacterial small subunit ribosomal RNA", at positions 358 to 790 of the family's 1533-position model. The record is from RNAcentral. Lineage: Bacteria; Pseudomonadati; Bacteroidota; Flavobacteriia; Flavobacteriales; Flavobacteriaceae.